AAUAAUGUGAGCUCCGAGCUUUUCUGCCCUAAAACCGUUUGGUCAUGGCAAAAAGCCGUUAGGGUAAAUCUGGAAACGGAUUUGCCUCCCGUGGUUGAAAAGGAGCGCGGAACCAGCUUUU
RNAcentral lists this non-coding RNA (121 nucleotides) under Peptococcaceae bacterium. Its description in RNAcentral is "MoCo sequence". It matches the Rfam family "Molybdenum/Tungsten riboswitch aptamer (Moco RNA motif)". The record is from RNAcentral. Lineage: Bacteria; Bacillati; Bacillota; Clostridia; Eubacteriales; Peptococcaceae.